Pteropus vampyrus (large flying fox) is the source of this 133-nucleotide ribosomal RNA. The record is from Ensembl. NCBI's taxonomy places the organism in Eukaryota, Metazoa, Chordata, Mammalia, Chiroptera, Pteropodidae.
GUCUACAGCCAUACCACCCUGAACACACCUGAUCUUGUCUGAUCUCGUCUGAUCUUGGAAGCUAACUAAGCAAAGUCAGGCCCGGUUAGUACUUGGAUGGGAGACCACCUAGGAAGACCAGAUGCUAUAGGUG